RNAcentral lists this transfer RNA (74 nucleotides) under Thermorudis peleae. RNAcentral describes it as "tRNA-Cys". It matches the Rfam family "tRNA". Rfam says of the family: Transfer RNA (tRNA) molecules are approximately 80 nucleotides in length. Their secondary structure includes four short double-helical elements and three loops (D, anti-codon, and T loops). The record is from RNAcentral. Lineage: Bacteria; Pseudomonadati; Thermomicrobiota; Thermomicrobia.
GGCGCCGUAGCCAAGCGGCAAGGCAGGAGUCUGCAAAACUCCGAUCGGCGGUUCGAAUCCGCCCGGCGCCUCCA